AUUGAACGCUGGCGGCAUGCCUUACACAUGCAAGUCGAACGGUAACAGGUCUUCGGAUGCUGACGAGUGGCGAACGGGUGAGUAAUACAUCGGAACGUGCCUAGUAGUGGGGGAUAACUACUCGAAAGAGUGGCUAAUACCGCAUGAGAUCUACGGAUGAAAGCAGGGAAUCGCAAGACCUUGUGCUACUAGAGCGGCCGAUGGCAGAUUAGGUAGUUGGUGGGAUAAAAGCUUACCAAGCCGACGAUCUGUAGCUGGUCUGAGAGGACGAUCGGCCACACUGGGACUGAGACACGGCCCAGACUCCGACGGGAGGCAGCAGUGGGGAAUUUUGGACAAUGGGCGCAAGCCUGAUCCAGCAAUGCCGCGUGCAGGAUGAAGGCCUUCGGGUUGUAAACUGCUUUUGUACGGAACGAAAAGCCCCGGGUUAAUACCCUGGGGUCAUGACGGUACCGUAAGAAUAAGCACCGGCUAACUACGUGCCAGCCGCCGCCGUAA
RNAcentral lists this ribosomal RNA (498 nucleotides) under uncultured bacterium. RNAcentral's name for it is "partial 16S ribosomal RNA". It matches the Rfam family "Bacterial small subunit ribosomal RNA", at positions 30 to 523 of the family's 1533-position model. The record is from RNAcentral.